UUACCAUGCAAGUCGCACGAAACCUUUCGGGGUUAGUGGCGGACGGGUGUAGUAACGCGUUAGGAACCUAUCUGGAGGUGGGGGAUAACAUCGGGAAACUGGUGCUAAUACCGCAUGAUGCCUGAGGGCCAAAGGAGAGAUCCGCCAUUGGAGGGGCCUGCGUUCGAUUAGCUAGUUGGUUGGGUAAAGGCUGACCAAGGCGAUGAUCGAUAGCUGGUUUGAGAGGAUGAUCAGCCACACUGGGACUGAGACACGGCCCAGACUCCUACGGG
This 272-nucleotide ribosomal RNA is filed under the name Acetobacteraceae bacterium C04_Col5CP11. Its description in RNAcentral is "partial 16S ribosomal RNA". It matches the Rfam family "Bacterial small subunit ribosomal RNA", at positions 54 to 345 of the family's 1533-position model. The record is from RNAcentral. Lineage: Bacteria; Pseudomonadati; Pseudomonadota; Alphaproteobacteria; Acetobacterales; Acetobacteraceae.